RNAcentral lists this ribosomal RNA (218 nucleotides) under uncultured bacterium. Its description in RNAcentral is "partial 16S ribosomal RNA". It matches the Rfam family "Bacterial small subunit ribosomal RNA", at positions 144 to 354 of the family's 1533-position model. The record is from RNAcentral.
UAACACCUGGAAACAGAUGCUAAUACCGGAUAACAACACUAGACGCAUGUCUAGAGUUUAAAAGAUGGUUCUGCUAUCACUCUUGGAUGGACCUGCGGUGCAUUAGCUAGUUGGUAAGGCAACGGCUUACCAAGGCAAUGAUGCAUAGCCGAGUUGAGAGACUGAUCGGCCACAUUGGGACUGAGACACGGCCCAAACUCCUACGGGAGGCAGCAGAC